GAUCUGGUUCUGGGCAUUGUCGAUCCGACCCCCCAAGUUGGAAUUGACGGAAUUGAUCCGAGAGGUUAGGUCGUUGUUUACGGAAUUGAUCCGAGAGAUUAGGUCGUUGUUUACGGAAGUAAUCCGUGAGCCCAGCUCGUUGUUUACGGAAUUGAUCCGAGAGGUUAGGUCGUUGUUUACGGAAUUGAUCCGUGAGUCCACCUUGGAAAUGUUGGCAUCACGUGCUGCCAGCUCAUUCGCUAG
Molecule: long non-coding RNA, 243 nt
Filed under: Volvox carteri
Lineage: Eukaryota; Viridiplantae; Chlorophyta; Chlorophyceae; Chlamydomonadales; Volvocaceae
Description: long non-coding RNA (VCAR_LNC000892)
Source: RNAcentral